Oncorhynchus keta (chum salmon) is the source of this 1128-nucleotide long non-coding RNA. RefSeq lists it as uncharacterized. The record is from RefSeq and is a predicted model, not a curated record. The transcript has 6 exons. Lineage: Eukaryota; Metazoa; Chordata; Actinopteri; Salmoniformes; Salmonidae.
CUCAUCUCCUCCUCUCAUCUCCUCCUCUCAUCUCCUCCUCUCUUCUCCUCCUCUCUUCUCCUCCUCUCAUCUCCUCCUCUCAUCUCCUCCUCUCCUCUCCUCCUCUCAUCUCCUCCUCUCAUCUCCUCCUCUCAUCUCCUCCUCUCUUCUCCUCCUCUCAUCUCCUCCUCUCCUCUCCUCCUCUCCUCUCCUCAUUCAUCCCUCCUUCCACUGAAACAGCAUUCUGUAGUUUCAGGAAAAGAGGAAGUGACAAGGCAACUUGUUCUGGGUGAAAGGUCACGAAGUGGCUUAGACCAGACUAGUAGAUUAUGAUAGAUGGAGAUGAGUUGAACUCAACAGAGAAACCAGUAGAUGAUAGAUAUGAACAGGUGUAGAUAUGAACAGGUGUAGAUAUGAACAGGUGUAGAUAUGAACAGGUGUAUACAGGUGUAGAUAUGAACAGGUGUAUACAGGUGUAGAUAUGAACAGGUGUAUACAGGUGUAGAUAUGAACAGGUGUAUACAGGUGUAGAUAUGAACAGGUGUAGAUAUGAACAGGUGUAUACAGGUGUAGAUAUGAACAGGUGUAGAUAUGAACAGGUGUAUACAGGUGUAGAUAUGAACAGGUGUAGAUAUGAACAGGUGUAUACAGGUGUAGAUAUGAACAGGUGUAUACAGGUGUAGAUAUGAACAGGUGUAUACAGGUGUAGAUAUGAACAGGUGUAGAUAUGAACAGGUGUAGAUAUGAACAGAUGUAUACAGGUAUAGAUAUGAACAGGUGUAGAUAUGAACAGGUGUAUACAGGUAUAGAUAUGAACAGGUGUAGAUAUGAACAGGUGUAUACAGGUGUAGAUAUGAACAGGUGUAGAUAUGAACAGGUGUAGAUAUGAACAGAUGUAUACAGGUGUAGAUAUGAACAGGUGUAGAUAUGAACAGGAGUAGAUAUGAACAGGUGUGUACAGGUGUAGAUAUGAACAGGUGUAGAUAUGAACAGGUGUAUACAGGUGUAGAUAUGAACAGGUGUAUACAGGUGUAGAUAUGAACAGGUGUAUACAGGUGUAGAUAUGAACAGGAGUAGAUAUGAACAGGUGUGUACAGGUGUAGAUAUGAACAGGUGUAGAUAUGAACAGGUGUAUACAGGUGUAGAUAU